UUCUCGGAAUCCAGUACUCACAAGCGCAGGGCUCGAUCACAGCCGUCCACAGCUGUCUCCCUGGCCGCUCGAUCGCCCCACCCCGUCUGCUUCACAAAAACCUUAACCCCCACCACUCUCUUCUUUCUACCCGCUCCCCUCCCGCCGCCGCGCCGCCGACGCCGUUCUCAGGGGCCGGGCGCGGCACACGAGCAUGCCUAGCGCCUUCCACCCCCUCCGCCCUUCCCUCAAGCGCAAGUGCAAAUCCAAGCGCUCCAAGAGGCUCAGCGAAGCCAGGAGCCUCGCCGCCGCCGACGAUGCCGCCGGAGGUGGAGGCGGAGAUGCCUCCUUCGACCUGAAGAACUCCGCCUCCGCGUCAGCCGCUUCCGGAAUCGGCGGCGGAAGGGGUACCCUCGUCCAGCCGCUCGGGAACCUCCUCCUGGCCGCCGCCCGGCGCGCCAACCUUCGGGACGAGGGUCUCGGCGCGCUCCGCCCGCUCCCGGACGACCUCCUCCUCGACGUCCUCGGCCUCCUCCCGGCCCGCGACCUCGCCGCGCUCUCCGCGGCCUCCAAGGCGCUCUACGUCAUCUCCUCACACGACCCGCUCUGGCGGGCCGUCGUCCUCGCCGAGCUCGGCGGGGACUUCGCGUUCGCGGGCUCCUGGCGCGCCACCUACAUCUCCGCCGUGUCCGGCCGCGCCCAUCUUCCCCCGCGCGCCCUCGAGAUCGAGGGAUUCUACUCGGACUACCUUUUCCAGAGCUGGCUAUGCGCCAACAUGGAGAUGCGGACCGAGUGGCUCCAGCGGGACACCAUUGACCGCCGCCGCGGCUUGUCUCUGGAGAAAUUCAUCACUGAAUACGAGGAGCCCAACUGGCCGGUGCUGCUAGAGGGAUGCCUCGAGAACUGGCCAGCGUCGCAAAAAUGGACGCGUGAGUAUUUACUAGAAGUCUCGGCCGGGAAGGAGUUUGCAGUCGGUCCGGUGAGCAUGACAUUGGAUAAGUACUUCAUGUAUGCCGACAACGUGCAGGAGGAGAGGCCGCUGUACCUAUUUGAUGCGAAAUUCGCCGAGAAGGUUCCGGAGAUGGGGAGGGACUAUGAGGUGCCGGUGUACUUCCAGGAGGACCUGUUCAAGGUGCUCGGGGAGGAGAGGCCAGAUCAUCGCUGGGUUAUCAUUGGUCCGGCUGGAUCAGGUUCAUCCUUUCAUGUAGACCCUAACUCGACAUCAGCAUGGAAUGCUGUGAUCAAGGGGGCCAAGAAGUGGGUGAUGUUCCCACCAGAGGUGCCGCCACCAGGGGUCCACCCAAGCGCGGAUGGGGCAGAGGUCACUAGCCCUGUGUCUAUCAUGGAGUGGUUCAUGAACUUUUAUGGGGCAUGUAGGACCUGGGAGAAGAGGCCAGUUGAGUGUGUAUGCCGGGCUGGGGAGAUUGUUUUUGUGCCUAAUGGAUGGUGGCAUUUGGUUAUCAAUCUUGAAGAAUCUGUUGCCAUCACUCAGAAUUACGUGAGCAGGAGAAACCUGUUGAAUGUUCUUGACUUUCUCAAGAGGCCCAAUGCAAGUGAACUUGUGUCAGGGACCAAAGACAGAGUAAACCUGCAUGACAAGUUCCGGAAUGCCAUCGACACGGCUUACCCUGGAACUAUUAGUCGGCUUGAAGUUGAAGCUCAGGAGAAGGCUGCUGCUAGGAAGAAGAAAGUGGGAUUUUGGGAUAAUGCUGUUGAUGCCAACACUGGAGGAUUCAAGUUCACUUUCUAAUUUUCUUGCGCAGCCACAGAAAUCAGAUCCAAUUUUCACUGAGAACCCAGGGCAUAAACCACAGCUAAGCAGUCAGUUCUGACAAUGGCCGGCAUAGGAGCCCAGUCCCGAAGUAAACUACGCCUUCCUGCAUAGCCAAUUCUUGUGCUUCUUUAGCGCCGGCGCACGUCGGGAGGACCUUCCAGGCAGUGAGAAGGACCUCGCCCAAACAGUUACACACCACCACACCUGUGAACAUCCAUGUCAUCUCAACAUUGUCUUGCCCGCAUCACGGCCCGACUUGCACAUGGUUCUCUCUGGUCCACACCAACAGGGUUGGAUAACGGUGAAACAUACAAGCUCUUUUAUAUUCAUAAAGUUAGAACUCAUCCAGUUUACAUCGUUACAACAUGUGCUUCCUCCGUC
Molecule: RNA transcript, 2134 nt
Organism: Brachypodium distachyon (stiff brome)
Lineage: Eukaryota; Viridiplantae; Streptophyta; Magnoliopsida; Poales; Poaceae
Gene name: F-box protein At5g06550
Exons: 3
Source: RefSeq, a predicted model, not a curated record